AUAUAUGGAGAAGACACCAACAACAUCCGACGAAUUAAAACUUCUACAGGCCGGGAUGGGUCGGAAAACCAUCAAUGUCCCAGAGGAUGCUGACCAUUCAUGGCUGUCCAGAAAACUUGAAGAGAACUACCCUAAAAUGGCAGAAUUGAAAGGGUCAUGGAUGUUAUUUAAGGCUGUUGGAGGGUCUGGACAAAGAAAAUUGUGUAUCGUGCCCCCUGAGGCAGAAGGUUAUGCAG
Non-coding RNA from Paramormyrops kingsleyae, 236 nucleotides. NCBI's taxonomy places the organism in Eukaryota, Metazoa, Chordata, Actinopteri, Osteoglossiformes, Mormyridae. The record is from RefSeq and is a predicted model, not a curated record.